Long non-coding RNA from Oncorhynchus gorbuscha (pink salmon), 2004 nucleotides. RefSeq lists it as uncharacterized. The record is from RefSeq and is a predicted model, not a curated record. NCBI's taxonomy places the organism in Eukaryota, Metazoa, Chordata, Actinopteri, Salmoniformes, Salmonidae. The transcript has 4 exons.
CGGACAGCCCCAACUCUGCCUUUUACAGGGGGGGAGGACGAGGUUGUCUGUAUGGGGAAAUAUUACUACUACGAUUGCUGUGAAGAAACAGAAGGACCCGGUUGAUUUAAAACAGAUGGAUGGUCCCAAGCGACGUCACCAUCAACCGUCAGCACGAAGCUCGAGAACCUACUGCUGUUAUUCUGAAGGUGCUCGUUUCGUUUACAUCGCUCUGCUCAUACAGACAAGUCGGCAGUUGUGAGAGGCGCUUGACAACCCCACUAUAUCCACCCUUGUCUUCUGAGGCACUUCCUCCCACAAUAUAAGAUGAAGUAGCAUACGACGUUGCACAGGUGUGUGUAUCCAGCCUAGCCGCGUGGGUCUGGGUGGGCCCGAGGGGUUGGCUGUUAUCUUUGGUUAUCUAGCUGUAUGAGUGGUGUACAUUCUUCAUAAAGCUAGAUAACCGAAAGUAACAAGAAUCCCAUUGCGCUCCCGCAAGGCCUGUUUCUUGUGCCCGACAAACAAAACAAAAUGGCCGACGCCCGAGAGGAAGUGACUCAGCGUUUGUGUCCAGCCAACCGAUCAGAAGACUUAAAGGUGACCCAUCACAUUGAAGUUAUGAUGUCAAGGCCAGUCAUCUGGCUCCGCCUCCCUCUGAAGUCCACCACCUCCCGACGGCCACCCCACCUCACCAAUAGGGAUGUCCAUUUCCGAACAUAAUGGUGCCCACCUGACCUAAAUGGAACCCGGAUUGACUCCUCUUGUUAAACCUGAAGCACUUUGUUGACAUUGAGGGAUCUCCCUUUAGUUUGGGUGAACUUUGGGCACAUGCCUGGACUGAACAUGGGGGUAAUGUACUGUUGAGUCAUGGAUACCAAUGGAUACUCAACCACAGCUGCGUCUGUGGGCCUAACCCCCAGACUGUCUUCUGAACGUCCGGAUAUACCAAUCAAAGUAGAAGUUUAAACGGACCACUGUGAACUGUUGCGUUUCUGUCCUCCCACAGCUAACUAGCUGGAUACAUGGACACAAAUGGACAUAUCUGCGAUAAGCAGCCGGAUGUGGACCAUGAUAGUUGAGAAGAACAUAGACUAACACCCAUAUUGAAGCAUACUGGACUGGCGUAUGGAACGCCCAUGAGUCCGAAUGGUAGACACAUAGACCUUGAAGCGGAGUUGUUGUCCCGGAGCCGGAGUAUACCAUUCAACACAGACGGCAUAGGCCACUAGCCCCGUGUUUAGUGAGGGUUGUGAGAAGUGUGUGUGUGUGCGCUGUGCGGUGCCGGUACACCGGCCUCUCUGAGACGACUCUACACACAGCUGUAGCUGUCACAUCUGCCGUACGUUCGGGGCCGCGGGUCAGCUGAUCUGCCGAUGCGUCUGUGUGCUUGUUUGUUUACUUGUGCUUGUCUGUGUAUGUGCACGCACUUUGCGUCAGCCUCACUCAGCGCAAGUUCUGUUCUCGGAUUGUAAGCAACACACACGCGCACACACCACAAGUCAUAGUAAAGGUCUUGUAAACUGCUUCUGGUUAAUGGUCAUUGGAUUUGUCAUGUACUUAUGCUACAGUACCUGGCAAAAAUAUAUAUAUUUGACACUGGAGGAGGUUAUAUGGCUUAGUGGUGGAAUCCACCACUGAUUUUAUUAUCAAGGGGAGGCAAACAAGUGUUUUAUAUUGGACAGAGCAUAUAGUAUUCCGAUAAUGUGUGUAUAGAUAGAACACAUGAAAUUAAUUAAAAAUAGAAACAUAGAAAUGCAUCUUGAAAUAUAUGCAAAUGAAUCAACAAACUAUUUUAUCAUUUGCUUCUGAGAAUCAUUCAAAUUCUCUGAGGGUUUCGAUUUUUUUUCCAAGGACAAUCCUGUUAAAUAUUGUAGGGUGAUGCGAGAGAAAUUAAAUGAAAGGGUGGCCGCACAGCCCUCCAUGUGCUCGCCAGAGGUAGCCUGACUGCCAUUAGGUACCGAGAUGAGAUCCUCAGACACCUUGUGAGACCAUAUGCUGGUGCGGUUGGCCCUGGGUUCCUCCUAA